AGGAUAAUAGUUUAAUAAAAACAUUUAAAUUGCAAUUAAAAAAUAUUUUUAAAAUUUAUCUUU
RNAcentral lists this transfer RNA (63 nucleotides) under Mordellidae sp. GENSP01. RNAcentral describes it as "tRNA-Ala". Lineage: Eukaryota; Metazoa; Arthropoda; Insecta; Coleoptera; Mordellidae. The record is from RNAcentral.